UGCGUAGGCGGUCGGGUAAGUCGGAUGUGAAAUCUCAGGGCUCAACCCUGAAACUGCAUUCGAUACUGCCUGGCUAGGGUACUGGAGAGGAGACUGGAAUUCACGGUGUAGCAGUGAAAUGCGUAGAUAUCGUGAGGAAGACCAGUGGCGAAGGCGAUUCUCUGGGCAAUUCCUGACACUGAGGCACAAGGGCCAGGGGAGCAAACG
RNAcentral lists this ribosomal RNA (207 nucleotides) under uncultured bacterium. Its description in RNAcentral is "partial 16S ribosomal RNA". It matches the Rfam family "Bacterial small subunit ribosomal RNA", at positions 568 to 774 of the family's 1533-position model. The record is from RNAcentral.